UUAGUCGUGGAAAGGGAAAGAUACAUACAUACAUAGUUUAUUACGGAUAGUUUAAUAUGAUUGUCAAUUCAGAUUGUUCUCUCUGUGAUGGUAAUCUUGUUUUAUAAAAGAUGAGUAAUAAGGCAUCUAGACUUAACUUAAAAUCAAUAAUGAAAAAGAAACCCCACCUGCAUCUCGCACAAACACCGAUUUAAUGCUAAUUUUGCGCAGUUAAGACUGUAACAAUGGGAAGCCAACUCCUGGACCGUGAUAUAUCCAAACCGGAUAAGCAGUGUAACGAGAGGUGCACUUAAGCCUCCUGCUGUUCCUGCAUCGAUUGGCAGAAGAAUCCAGAGUGAAAGCUUUUGAAAACAGAAGCACAACCAUUAAACCAAAUCAU
Polyodon spathula (Mississippi paddlefish) is the source of this 379-nucleotide long non-coding RNA. RefSeq lists it as uncharacterized. The transcript is spliced from 3 exons. The record is from RefSeq and is a predicted model, not a curated record. NCBI's taxonomy places the organism in Eukaryota, Metazoa, Chordata, Actinopteri, Acipenseriformes, Polyodontidae.